CCUUUGGCAAAUCACUCAUAAUACUUGACCCUCACAACUCAAAUCAUAUUCUACCUGCCCAAUCAAAUAGAUACUAAGUGGAAAAGGAGCUUCAUUUACGAUCUUGCAGCAAGAUUUUGUCCAAUUGCAUUCCUUCCAUAUCUAAAAACACACCCGUGCACACAAAAUAAAAUAAAAUAAAACACUCAUAUACUAUUUAAUAAUUUCCAUAUCUGACCGUGCAUUAGAACAUGCAAACAUACAACCAACAAAUAUUGCAAUGGUAGAAAAUUGCCACUUUGCUCUACAAUGGAAGAAAGUGGCAACUAGAAUCCCUGAACCACCAUUUGCAUAACUUCCAAAACCUAUGUUGUUUUGAUAAAUGUUGCCUAAUUGCACACCAUCCAUAAUUCCUCUCAAAAUAGAGGUUCAAAAGCCACCUAAGGUGGCAUUUGGUGGCUCAAAUGGGAUUACUAAGAUGAUUUUAGAUCCUUAUUAAUCUAAUUCUUGAUGAUUUAAAAUUAUCAUGUUUUGUAGGUUAUAUUUCAACGAUUAAAAAUCUCUGAAUAUCUACGAGUAACUUAUUUGAUAUUCCAUAGGAAUCUAAGAUCACUGAUCAUAUAAUACCAAAACUACCCCCAAUAUAUUUUAUAACGAUAUAUUUAUUAUAUAUCACAGUAAAUUAUUAAUAUAUUUAUUAUAUAUUGAUACAAUCGUGAUGUUGUCGUUAGGACACCGUGAUUAUCAAUUUAAUUCCGACUUCAAUAAAAAUUAAAAGCACGUAGAAAAUAGCGAGUCAGAUCGAAUCCACAGAGAAGGC
Molecule: long non-coding RNA, 799 nt
Filed under: Elaeis guineensis (African oil palm)
Lineage: Eukaryota; Viridiplantae; Streptophyta; Magnoliopsida; Arecales; Arecaceae
Description: long non-coding RNA (EGUI_LNC065841)
Source: RNAcentral